Molecule: non-coding RNA, 569 nt
Organism: Phascolarctos cinereus (koala)
Lineage: Eukaryota; Metazoa; Chordata; Mammalia; Diprotodontia; Phascolarctidae
Source: RefSeq, a predicted model, not a curated record
CAGAUUUAACACGCUAGCUUGGCAGGAAGUUUCCAACUGGACUCUGGCCUGUGAACAAUGAGUGACAAACACAGAAUCAAACUUAAUAGCAGCAUUCAGAGAAAAAGUCAUAAAGGGUGAAACAAAGAAGAUAAAACAGCAGUCAUACCCAAGGGGGAAGGAUACCACAUCACAACCUGGGAUCAGCUGGAAACCGGAGAAGUGUGAACUGGCACAGAAUGAAGUGAAAUAGAACCAAUGAAAUGACUUACACAAUAACAAUGAUUGUGAAAGGCUUAACAACUCUGAUCAGUGAAAUGAUCAACCACAAAUCCAGAGGACUAAUGAUGAAUCACGCUACCCACAAGGCGUACAUUUUUGGACACGGCUAAUGUGGGGAUUGCUAUGGCUUCCUUGUGGCUAUUUGUUACAAAGGCUUUGUUUUUCUUUCUUUUUUUUAAUUAAGGGAGGGAGAGGUGGAGAGGGGAGUUGAGAUAGGGUCCUCUCUCAAAAAAAAUCUCUCUGCCUUGGGGCUAGUCUGAAUUUGUGAAAAAUCUGAAUUAUAUAAUAAACACCUUUUAAAAUCUUUA